GGAUUGUGGCUCAGUGGCAGAGCGCUUGCCUAGCAUGUGUGAGGCACUGGGUUCGAACCUCAACACCA
Molecule: transfer RNA, 68 nt
Filed under: Marmota monax (woodchuck)
Lineage: Eukaryota; Metazoa; Chordata; Mammalia; Rodentia; Sciuridae
Description: tRNA.Ala
Source: RNAcentral